GCUCUACGACAGGCGGUUCUUAUAGGAGGACUUAACUAGAGACAAAUCUAACGUUAUUUC
This 60-nucleotide unclassified non-coding RNA is filed under the name synthetic construct. The record is from RNAcentral.